UUUAAUUUAAUUUAAAAAUUAAAAAUUUUAAAUUAAAGAUUUCUUAAUUUAAGUUAAAAAUUAAAGUUUAAUUUAUUUUUUUAAUUUUUUGAUUUAAUUUAAAAAUAAAAAUUAAAUUAAAUUUAAAUUAAAAAUUUUGAGUUAAUUAACAUAAAAAAUUAAUAAGUUAAAUUAAAUAUUUUUAAUAAAUAUAAAAGUGAAAUUAAAUAUUAAGCGUAAAACAAACACGGCCGUAGCUUUUGUUGUCCUAUUAUUAGCGUAUUUUAGCAGAUGGUGACGUGAUUCUCCUAAUAUGACCAGGAGGGCACAUUAACCCAGCAG
Molecule: unclassified non-coding RNA, 321 nt
Filed under: Hevea brasiliensis (rubber tree)
Lineage: Eukaryota; Viridiplantae; Streptophyta; Magnoliopsida; Malpighiales; Euphorbiaceae
Source: RNAcentral